This 229-nucleotide long non-coding RNA is filed under the name Mus musculus (house mouse). RNAcentral's name for it is "alncRNA-EC1". The record is from RNAcentral. Lineage: Eukaryota; Metazoa; Chordata; Mammalia; Rodentia; Muridae.
UUCAAUUCCAGCUGCAAGGUGCUCAGUGUUGUGACAAGCUGUGGGUCCUCAAAGCUGAGUACUGAAGGCUGAUUUCUGCUUCUGUUUUCAAGCCUUUCUGGACCCACUGAGGGAAGACAUUUUGUUGCUUGAAUUCAGAGGAGAAAGACAAGGGUGUUCCAGUGGCCAGCAUCCUCCUUCCUCCUGAUUUUUCAUAACAAGUGGUCAUUUCACACAGAAAUCCUGGGAG